RNAcentral lists this ribosomal RNA (468 nucleotides) under uncultured bacterium. RNAcentral describes it as "partial 16S ribosomal RNA". It matches the Rfam family "Bacterial small subunit ribosomal RNA", at positions 28 to 507 of the family's 1533-position model. The record is from RNAcentral.
GACGAACGCUGGCGGCGUGCUUAACACAUGCAAGUCGAACGGAAAGGCCCUGCUUUUGUGGGGUGCUCGAGUGGCGAACGGGUGAGUAACACGUGAGUAACCUGCCCUUGACUUUGGGAUAACUUCAGGAAACUGGGGCUAAUACCGGAUAGGAGCUCCUGCUGCAUGGUGGGGGUUGGAAAGUUUCGGCGGUUGGGGAUGGACUCGCGGCUUAUCAGCUUGGUGGUGGGGUAGUGGCUUACCAAGGCUUUGACGGGUAGCCGGCCUGGGAGGGUGACCGGCCACAUUGGGACUGAGAUACGGCCCAGACUCCUACGGGAGGCAGCAGUGGGGAAUAGUGCACAAUGGGCGGAAGCAUGAUGCAGCAACGCCGCGUGCGGGAUGACGGGCUUCGGGUUGUAAACCGCUUUCGCCUGUGACGAAGCGUGAGUGACGGUAAUGGGUAAAGAAGCACCGGCUAACUACGUG